AUAGGAUAUGUUCUUAUCCUCUGUUUGUACAGGACCUAGCACAGCAGGGGGAUCUAGACAGCGGUAUGACUGUGAAACACAACAGCACAAAGAGCAGCCUUGAGACCCAGAAGCUGACAUGUUGUAACUUUCCCUUCUAAUAGAGCAGUGAGUGCUGUGUCACCUGCACCAGUGUUCUACAAAAGGCAGAUUCUACUUUUGAGGUUUGCAGAAAACAGGAGGUGACUCAGGCCCCUGAUCCCUGUGACUGGGUGGGAGGAGUAUCAUUAGAUCACUGUGCUAUUUUGAACUGUCCAAGCCACAACCCCAGCUGUCUGCCAGAGUUUCACUGCAGGGCCAUGGCUUGGUUGGAUCAGCACCAGAAAUACGUAAGACCACAAUCCCCUUAUUAACAACUCUGCUUUGCACCACUGUCAGUCAUACCAGAUUACCAACAACCCAGUCUCCCAGAGGAAGAGACCUGCAUUUAAUCCCUCCAGUCCCACCACAGUGCUGUCUGUCCUUCUGAAUCUUUGGCGAAACCAGAGCUUUACCACCUCCCGCAACAGACCAUCUCCCUGGGAACAGCCUGUUUCCUUUCAGCCUAUCUCCAACUCUUAGGAGACAGCAGCUAGUGGUCCUCAAAAGUUAGUUCUUAGGGCAAGGUGUUUCACGAAGCUCUUCAGGGCUUGUUGAAUUGCAGUCUGGCUGCUUCUUUGGACUCCAUAUCAUGCAGACAUCUCCAACUGCAAGCUGUCGGCAUGGGAGCUGGUACAACUGAGCAGUUUUGUCUGGAC
This 776-nucleotide long non-coding RNA is filed under the name Crocodylus porosus (Australian saltwater crocodile). RNAcentral describes it as "lncRNA (ENSCPRG00005012028.1)". The record is from RNAcentral. Lineage: Eukaryota; Metazoa; Chordata; Crocodylia; Crocodylidae.